RNAcentral lists this ribosomal RNA (435 nucleotides) under uncultured bacterium. Its description in RNAcentral is "bacterial SSU rRNA". It matches the Rfam family "Bacterial small subunit ribosomal RNA", at positions 954 to 1386 of the family's 1533-position model. The record is from RNAcentral.
GCUAAACGCGAAGAACCUUACCUGGCCUUGACAUCCAUGGAAUCCCGAAGAGAUUCGGGAGUGCCGCAAGGAACCAUGAGACAGGUGCUGCAUGGCUGUCGUCAGCUCGUGUCGUGAGAUGUUGGGUUAAGUCCCACAACGAGCGCAACCCUUGUCCUUAUUUGCCAGCCUGUUUACAGGCGUACUUUAAGGAGACUGCCGUAGAUAAUACGGAGGAAGGUGGGGAUGACGUCAAAUCCUCAUGCCCCUUACGUCCCGGGCUACACACGUGCUACAAUGGUCUGUACAGAGGGUAGCCAAGAAGCAAUUCGGAGCCAAAUCCCAAAAAGACAGGCCCCAGUUCGGAUUGGAGGCUGCAACCCGCCUGCGUGAAGUCGGAAUCGCUAGUAAUCUCAGGUCAGCAUACUGAGGUGAAUACGUUCCCGGGUCUUGUAC